GGUUAAGCGACUAAGCGUACACGGUGGAUGCCCUGGCAGUCAGAGGCGAUGAAGGACGUGCUAAUCUGCGAUAAGCGUCGGUAAGGUGAUAUGAACCGUUAUAACCGGCGAUUUCCGAAUGGGGAAACCCAGUGUGAUUCGUCACACUAUCAUUAACUGAAUCCAUAGGUUAAUGAGGCGAACCGGGGGAACUGAAACAUCUAAGUACCCCGAGGAAAAGAAAUCAACCGAGAUUCCCCCAGUAGCGGCGAGCGAACGGGGAGCAGCCCAGAGCCUGAAUCAGUGUGUGUGUUAGUGGAAGCGUCUGGAAAGGCGUGCGAUACAGGGUGACAGCCCCGUACACAAAAAUGCACAUACUGUGAGCUCGAUGAGUAGGGCGGGACACGUGGUAUCCUGUCUGAAUAUGGGGGGACCAUCCUCCAAGGCUAAAUACUCCUGACUGACCGAUAGUGAACCAGUACCGUGAGGGAAAGGCGAAAAGAACCCCGGCGAGGGGAGUGAAAAAGAACCUGAAACCGUGUACGUACAAGCAGUGGGAGCACAGAGCAAUCUGUGUGACUGCGUACCUUUUGUAUAAUGGGUCAGCGACUUAUAUUCUGUAGCAAGGUUAACCGAAUAGGGGAGCCGAAGGGAAACCGAGUCUUAACUGGGCGUUAAGUUGCAGGGUAUAGACCCGAAACCCGGUGAUCUAGCCAUGGGCAGGUUGAAGGUUGGGUAACACUAACUGGAGGACCGAACCGACUAAUGUUGAAAAAUUAGCGGAUGACUUGUGGCUGGGGGUGAAAGGCCAAUCAAACCGGGAGAUAGCUGGUUCUCCCCGAAAGCUAUUUAGGUAGCGCCUCGUGAAUUCAUCUCCGGGGGUAGAGCACUGUUUCGGCAAGGGGGUCAUCCCGACUUACCAACCCGAUGCAAACUGCGAAUACCGGAGAAUGUUAUCACGGGAGACACACGGCGGGUGCUAACGUCCGUCGUGAAGAGGGAAACAACCCAGACCGCCAGCUAAGGUCCCAAAGUCAUGGUUAAGUGGGAAACGAUGUGGGAAGGCCCAGACAGCCAGGAUGUUGGCUUAGAAGCAGCCAUCAUUUAAAGAAAGCGUAAUAGCUCACUGGUCGAGUCGGCCUGCGCGGAAGAUGUAACGGGGCUAAACCAUGCACCGAAGCUGCGGCAGCGACGCUUAUGCGUUGUUGGGUAGGGGAGCGUUCUGUAAGCCUGCGAAGGUGUGCUGUGAGGCAUGCUGGAGGUAUCAGAAGUGCGAAUGCUGACAUAAGUAACGAUAAAGCGGGUGAAAAGCCCGCUCGCCGGAAGACCAAGGGUUCCUGUCCAACGUUAAUCGGGGCAGGGUGAGUCGACCCCUAAGGCGAGGCCGAAAGGCGUAGUCGAUGGGAAACAGGUUAAUAUUCCUGUACUUGGUGUUACUGCGAAGGGGGGACGGAGAAGGCUAUGUUGGCCGGGCGACGGUUGUCCCGGUUUAAGCGUGUAGGCUGGUUUUCCAGGCAAAUCCGGAAAAUCAAGGCUGAGGCGUGAUGACGAGGCACUACGGUGCUGAAGCAACAAAUGCCCUGCUUCCAGGAAAAGCCUCUAAGCAUCAGGUAACAUCAAAUCGUACCCCAAACCGACACAGGUGGUCAGGUAGAGAAUACCAAGGCGCUUGAGAGAACUCGGGUGAAGGAACUAGGCAAAAUGGUGCCGUAACUUCGGGAGAAGGCACGCUGAUAUGUAGGUGAAGUCCCUCGCGGAUGGAGCUGAAAUCAGUCGAAGAUACCAGCUGGCUGCAACUGUUUAUUAAAAACACAGCACUGUGCAAACACGAAAGUGGACGUAUACGGUGUGACGCCUGCCCGGUGCCGGAAGGUUAAUUGAUGGGGUCAGCGCAAGCGAAGCUCUUGAUCGAAGCCCCGGUAAACGGCGGCCGUAACUAUAACGGUCCUAAGGUAGCGAAAUUCCUUGUCGGGUAAGUUCCGACCUGCACGAAUGGCGUAAUGAUGGCCAGGCUGUCUCCACCCGAGACUCAGUGAAAUUGAACUCGCUGUGAAGAUGCAGUGUACCCGCGGCAAGACGGAAAGACCCCGUGAACCUUUACUAUAGCUUGACACUGAACAUUGAGCCUUGAUGUGUAGGAUAGGUGGGAGGCUUUGAAGUGUGGACGCCAGUCUGCAUGGAGCCGACCUUGAAAUACCACCCUUUAAUGUUUGAUGUUCUAACGUUGACCCGUGAUCCGGGUUGCGGACAGUGUCUGGUGGGUAGUUUGACUGGGGCGGUCUCCUCCUAAAGAGUAACGGAGGAGCACGAAGGUUGGCUAAUCCUGGUCGGACAUCAGGAGGUUAGUGCAAUGGCAUAAGCCAGCUUGACUGCGAGCGUGACGGCGCGAGCAGGUGCGAAAGCAGGUCAUAGUGAUCCGGUGGUUCUGAAUGGAAGGGCCAUCGCUCAACGGAUAAAAGGUACUCCGGGGAUAACAGGCUGAUACCGCCCAAGAGUUCAUAUCGACGGCGGUGUUUGGCACCUCGAUGUCGGCUCAUCACAUCCUGGGGCUGAAGUAGGUCCCAAGGGUAUGGCUGUUCGCCAUUUAAAGUGGUACGCGAGCUGGGUUUAGAACGUCGUGAGACAGUUCGGUCCCUAUCUGCCGUGGGCGCUGGAGAACUGAGGGGGGCUGCUCCUAGUACGAGAGGACCGGAGUGGACGCAUCACUGGUGUUCGGGUUGUCAUGCCAAUGGCACUGCCCGGUAGCUAAAUGCGGAAGAGAUAAGUGCUGAAAGCAUCUAAGCACGAAACUUGCCCCGAGAUGAGUUCUCCCUGACUCCUUGAGAGUCCUGAAGGAACGUUGAAGACGACGACGUUGAUAGGCCGGGUGUGUAAGCGCAGCGAUGCGUUGAGCUAACCGGUACUAAUGAACCGUGAGGCUUAACCUU
Molecule: ribosomal RNA, 2906 nt
Filed under: Escherichia coli
Lineage: Bacteria; Pseudomonadati; Pseudomonadota; Gammaproteobacteria; Enterobacterales; Enterobacteriaceae
Description: 23S ribosomal RNA
Rfam family: Bacterial large subunit ribosomal RNA
Source: RNAcentral